Molecule: long non-coding RNA, 3320 nt
Organism: Liolophura sinensis
Lineage: Eukaryota; Metazoa; Mollusca; Polyplacophora; Chitonida; Chitonidae
Exons: 3
Source: RefSeq, a predicted model, not a curated record
UCCCUCCCCUCCUGAGAUCACGUGCAUUUCUCAGAACUAAGGAUUUUUAUUUCAAUCUGCGCAGUUUUGUGAAGUUGCGAAGCACGGUAGGAUUUGGUGUGGACAGGUAAGUCCUGUAAGAUCAAGUAGGUCUAUUUUGCGGCGGGAUGUUUAUCGGGUGAAGGAAUUGUCUUUAUCCAAAUGUCUCAGACAGUAUUUAGUUGGUCUGGUCGUCCUCAAAUCGACACAAAGUAGACAUACGACUUGGGCGUGUCUUUAUAUAGAAUCUACCCUCAGCCUGCGGGUGAGCCUUUAACACUGUCGAUGCGCAGUUGGAAUAUUUCCAUAUCACGGAAAAUGACUAAUUUUGGUUCAUAUUGUUAACUGUGUCGAUCUUGUCACUAUAUACACAAGGCGAUAUAUAUAUCUAUAUAAGCGACCUUCUCGUAAUCAUGUAUAUUUUAUAAACACCCAGAUGUAUAUUUAUGCAUGAAGUGACUACAUGUAGUAUUAACGCCACGCACGUCAGACAUUACAAUUUACAGCCUCGCCUACUGAUCACGGAUAUGGAGGAUGUAUCUUGACAAAGCUUGGCCCGUCAGGACGGUCGUUUACCCACAUGCAGGCCUGUUAUAGAUUAGCCAGGGCUGUCUGUGUGGAAUUUUAGCAAACACUAACCUACUUGUACAGCCUGAUAGGUUGUCUUUAUAUUUUCCGGUUACCAUGGCAACAGCCCUGUAUCUGUCUAGACAUGUAUGUCACAUAUCUGGUGCGCAGCGAAGUCAACCCUUACGGUUUAAACAUUGUGUGUUUAUCCGUCUUGAUCACACGAUAUAUCAGCACUACUGUAGUCUGUAUUUCUGUGGUUCCUCACAAUAACACAAUAAAACACGGCAAGCUGGAAGAGUUUGACCUGUCACAAAUUGUCCAUUUUAUUACAUAAGAAAUAUCAAAUGCCAAGCUGUAGUCCAGACGCUUGGCGCCAUUGUCGUAUAGUGUCAAGUCUCCUUCAUUACCACUGUAGCCCAGUCGUUUGCCGCCAUUGUCAUAUUGGGUCAAUUCACCCUUACUACCACUCUAGUCCAGACGGUUGUCGCCAUUGUUAGGUAGGGUUAUGUCAACUUCACUACCUCUCUACCCCAGACACUGGGCACCAUUGUCAUAUAUCGCCAUCGGUUUUCAUGUGUGUCGGAUGUGUUUUGUGUUCACUAUGGGUUUCUUGUACAUACAUCUAACACACUUUGAGCUCGCUCUUUGUAGGUUUACUGUACGUCUGAUUCAUUUUGCGUCGGAUUUGAGUCACAAGAUAUUAUCACUCAGUGGCGAUGUUCAAAAGAGAAAGUUUUCGUUGUCGCCUUGAAUGUGCCUAGGCUUUGUGCAAAUGCAGUUUAAUUUUCAGCCCAAUCGCAUCGGCCGUUCUGGAAAAGAAGAUUUGUUCAGGUUGGCACAAAAUCCAAUAUGGCCACCAAUUGUCACCAAAAGCCAAAAACAACAACUUCGGAUACAUUCCUAAAACAUACUGAAGUUUCAGGGACGUAUCACUUGUUGUUUUCUCAUAAAAUCUAUCACCAAACCGCCUGGAAUAAACAAAUUCGAAGAGACGCAAUAGGGGUUCAAGCUUAGGGAUUCAAUUGGCCUUGCGAUUGUUGACCUCGAAUGUCCAUCUUGAUUGACAGUUGGUAUACGAAUGUUUGUUCCGACGCAUAGAUUUGAGCAUUUAGCUUUAAGAAUUUUAACACGUGUAGAAAAAGCGUAAUUUGCCAGCAAAAAAUCUGUUUUCAGUUCUCAAUUUUAAAUGUUUCACCAUAAAAGCUUAGAUGAAGUUCUGUUUACAACAAAAUGCAUAUCGAUGUUUUUAGAUGCAGAAAAUCUAGAACCAUUUCCAACUGCCCAUUUCUUGGUCUUAUUGAGACAAAGCUGCAGCUGCCUUUCGAUGCUAUUCAUAUUUUAGCACGGUAGCCUAUAAGAAAAUCAUCAACAUAUAAAGACCCCUCUGACCUAGAUGUUUAAGUUUUUGACAAGCUAUUAAGUUUACAGCUAAACAGUGUUGGUGAUAGUACACUGCCCUUGAGUACACCCAUUUCUGCUCAUGGAAGUCAGAAAGAUUGUCCGUACUCGAACCCUAAACUGACGAUCAGAUAAAAGUUCUGAUACAUGAAUAAAUAACGAUAAGCGAUAAGUCCCAUACCCAUAUCGUAGGUCGGUGAGCUUUUCAAGGUCGAGAAUAAUUGAUACCACGUGCUCAUUAUGUAUUAUAUCAUUAGAAAUAAAAGUUCCAAUGCAACAAACUUUAAAUUGACAUUGAGGAAAACCGCCUUUAAUAUUAGACAGUAAAUUGUUGGUUUAUAAAUACCAAAGAAGUCUGUCACUUAUUAUUCGUUCCAAACUUAACCACGCUGGUAAGAGCUAUGGGACGGUAAUUGGACGGCUCACAAUGAUCCUUACCGGGUUUUGAAACCAGGAUAAUACACGCCUCCUUCCAUGACGGUGGAAAAAAUACCACUCAUCUAAAUAUCAUGAUUAAACAAGCCCAUGAGAGUCUCCAGUGGCUCAGGAGACAAAUGGGUUAGAAACUUGUAAUAAAUAUUACUAUGACCACACGUACUAUACGUUGUUACGACCACAAAUCCAAAUAAUAAGGCUCACCCUGAGGUAAAGAUAAGAUAAAAUGAAGUUUGAUCAUAAUGUGGAGAAGUGUUUAGCAUUUAUAGUGCUGACAACUAAAGAUUCAGAACUUCCUGUAACAAAACAAUGCUAUUACGCUAGGCAAAGUUAUUGAUGAUUCCGCUGGAGAUGUUUAUUUAUUUAUUUAUUUGACUAAUGUUUUACGCCGCACACAAGAAUAUUUCUCUUAUACGACGGGGGCUGCAUUAUUAUGGUGGGAGGAAACCGGGCAAGUGCCGGUGGAACCCACAACCAUCCACAGUCUGAUGGAAGACCUUCCCACAUACAAGCGGAGAGGAAGACAGCAUAGGCUGGACUUGAAUUUACAGAAACCGCGUUGUGAGAUCCCCCUGGGUCAUUGCGUCGCGCUGGCACACUAUCCACCUCGGCCGUAUAGGCCCCGAGAUGUUACAAAACUUAGGUCCAGUGAUGCCUUGAUUGUGUGCAAAGCCAGAUGAAGACAUAGUUUUAUUGACAGUUCGGAGGAUAUCUUCUCUAACCGACUGCUCAAACUGAACCAAUCCGAUCUUCAGUCUCUAACUGAGAGCCGUAGUGGAGUGUUGGGCUUAAAAUCUCGCAAGACCAUUCUCUUCAAUUAAGUGUGACAACCAAGGGCAGUCAGGAAAAAAAACCUGAGCAAAUAAUGGCCGAGAGCAAGCAGAAUCUUGAUGAUGUUC